GACGAACCGAGCGAACGUUGUUCGGAAUCACUGGGCUUAAAGGGCGCGUAGGCGGGCCGCCGCGUCCGGGGUGAAAUCCUCCCGCUCAACGGGAGAACGGCCUCGGAUACGGGCGGCCUGGAGGGGGGUAGGGGCGUGCGGAACUGUGGGUGGAGCGGUGAAAUGCGUUGAUAUCCGCAGGAACUCCGGUGGCGAAGGCGGCACGCUGGACCCCACCUGACGCUGAGGCGCGAAAGCCAGGGGAGCGAACGGG
This 253-nucleotide ribosomal RNA is filed under the name uncultured bacterium. RNAcentral's name for it is "partial 16S ribosomal RNA". It matches the Rfam family "Bacterial small subunit ribosomal RNA", at positions 524 to 776 of the family's 1533-position model. The record is from RNAcentral.